Long non-coding RNA from Alligator mississippiensis (American alligator), 5450 nucleotides. RefSeq lists it as uncharacterized. The record is from RefSeq and is a predicted model, not a curated record. The transcript is spliced from 5 exons. NCBI's taxonomy places the organism in Eukaryota, Metazoa, Chordata, Crocodylia, Alligatoridae.
UCUGGUUGCACAGAGUGAGCCCAUGUAACCUAAGGGCAGCAAAAUCCAAUCUUCACACAUCCAAGAUGAGUUCUAGCAGCGUCAGAAGGUGGCGAGGCAGUGCCGUGGGUCCCAGCCUGCUGACCUGCUUCUUUUGUGCUCAAUUAUCCCUCUGCCUGUUGGCAGCAAGUGCCUGACUGCGGGUUCAAAGACAUUCAACUCUGUUGAAAAGCUUUGAUCACACACCCACACUGGAUGGGAGCAAACUCUGCUUCAUACGCCCACGCUAGAUACAAGCAAACUCUGCUUCUCCACUUAGAAGAUGAAAGACCAACCCCACCUGUGAAGUGCCUGGCCAAAGGAGCAGGCCAGGGAGCUGAGAAGCACUUAGCAGCGAGUGUUGGGACAGCUGUGCUUCAGCAGGCAGGAGAGAGCCAGGGCUGCGGGCAGUACUGCGAGCAGGAGCAAGAAAAACUCAGAGCGGAGAGACAUGGCUCCAGGACAUGAGAUGAGCCAGAUGAAGGUGCAGAGAUAGGGAUGAUGAUGGAAGAUGCAUGGAAGCGCCCUCAGUGCUUGCUCCCACAAGGAGGUGUCUGAAGGCAGAUGCUGGCAUCGAGUAGCAAGCAAGCAGCUGGCGGUAACAGGCUCUAGCAAAGAUAAAACCUAGGCGUUGCAGAUGUGCUUCUGCUCCAUGAAUGCAAUACAGAAUAUGAAUGGAAACAGGGGGAGCCCCCUUGCACUGGAGAGAGAAGAAAAGGCCCUGAUUUCACUGCAGAUCAUUCAUGUGGCUUAAAGAAUUUUGCUGAGUGCCCAGGGUCCUGGUUUGAUUCUAUGAUGGGAGACAAGAAAGAAGCAAACUGAACAAACUUCAGGGAAGUCCUUCCUUCUCCGAUGCAUUGAAGCCUCAGGACAGGCCCCAGAGACACUUUCCCAGGGACUGGAUGAUUGACCUGCGCUCUGGGACUGCGCUGCCAGCUGACACCAAACUCUUCUGGAAAUGGCUAUUUAGUUAGAGAAAGAAGACAGGAAAAGAAGGACCAGAAGUCUGAUUCAGUACGACCGUUGUCGUGACAUGCUGCCAAAUCACUUUCCCUGGGCAUGAUGGAUGUCCUAGCUGCACGAGCAGCAAUUUGUAUCGGCUCUGGCAAGUGUCACAGAUGUUCUUCAAGGGAAUUGAGAGCUUUCUGGGGAAGGAUCAAUGUACUGUAGCAAUUGCUCAUAAGUGUAAUGCAGCGUGUUAGGCUUCCUCCCCUAGCCACGAUCUGACUGCUGCUUUUGAUUAUUUCUUGCUGUAAAGAGGAAGGUUUUUUGCAGAAAUAAAGCAUCGGCUUUGCUCCAGCACUAAUUGCCCAUUACAGUCAAUUGUGACCUCUUAUAGUCGCCUGCCAGGAACAUCAUGCCUCAAACGCUACCUCCUGCUGUUCAGGAAACAUAAAUGAGAGUUUUCAGAGCAGGCCUCAGCCACAGAGGAUUUAAGUGCAAUAUGUUAAUUAAAUAUCAGUGGAUAGCCCUGCUAAGGCUCUUUAAAAUACAAGUUCCAAAUCAUCAACUCUGCUGCUAAAAAUACAACUCAAGUUUCUAAAGUAAUAGACAUGCAAUUAGGUCUUAUUUGAAUAAGAGCUUGAAGAGACUAUUCAAGUUCCUGAAUUGUUUAUAAUGAGCAAUACAGCACAAUGGCAUGUAAUGGCCCUUUCUCAUAUUAAAUUAUUGUUCCAUAGGUUAUCGAUUACUGUUGAACUGAAGUGGUUUUAUCAAGUGUCUAAUCUGAACUGAAAUGCAUAAAAUUCCUAGCACGUAAGCCCAUUAACCAAUUCAAGAAAUGCCUUGCCGUUAGCUGGAGGUUGCUUACCUGCCUGUGUGGAUGUGGGCAUGCCUUCCAGCUGUCUGGCAGUGCUUGGUGUGAACCCAGUGAAAAAUGAAGGGUUUGCUGCAGAAAAUCUCAGCAGGACUGAGCAGAACUUCCCCAGAGGUUUCAGAUGUUUUUUAUAACACAAAAGGGUGUUUUCAGUUUUACCCUUUGGAAAAGUUUCUGGUCUUCAUUUUUCUGCAUCCAAAAUGACAUUUUUUUUUUUGUAAAAAGUUUCAGUUAGGAGGCAGGCACUUUUUAACCAAGAAAAAAAAAUAGCCUGUGGCUUUUACCCAAGGUCUGUGUGAAACCUGAUGCUAUGUGCAAUGCAGUUGCCUGGUAAUGGAACAGAGCAGUAGCAUAGCACGAUUCAUCAGCAACGUGCUUCAUGAAUGUUUAGAGUCUAAUUGAAGAUCAAAGGCAGGAAAAGAUGCCAGUUGACUUCAUUGGGAUUUGAAUCAGGCCUCGGACACUUAUUCUUAGCAGGUCCCUUUGGGGUAGGUAAACGUUACUUACCUCAUCUCUUAAAUAGGAUGCAUAGUGAAUGUGGGGUCUUUGCAGAACUUGGUUGCAAUUUGCAUCUCUGUGGUAUAAUGGAUGUGGAGUUUUUGCAUAGCUUGUUUGCAUCUGUGUCAUUAACCAUGACCCAGAACCAUUGCUUACUCAUCAGUCAUCUCCCUUGGGCUAGCAGAGUUAGCUAGAGUAGGAUGGACUCAUGCAUACCUCAUGAAUAGAGGUACUCUGCCAGACUGCUGGGGUAGGGGCAUGCUACCAAGUGGGCAGCAGACCUGUACUCUGUGAUAUUAUAAAUGGCCAGGGUAUGGGCAGGAAAACAUGUGUGAGCCUGGGAGGGCCUUCAUUUCAGUUUCCCCCUGCCUGGGCCCUAAUGAGGUAGAGGAGCAAAGGGCUUGGAUUCUAUUUCACCAAAUGUACCUUUGAGAAAUAAAGGAAGAGAGUGGUUUCAUGACCCCAUCACAAAGCCUCUUCAUUUCUAGAGUCCCUUAUUUCCCCAGGGAAACCCUGUGGCUCAGAGGAGACCCCUUGGUAGAUUCACAGAGGAAGGAGAACACCUCAGAACAAGUGGUGCACUUCUAGCACCUCCUAGCACUUGGAUCUGUGAGUGGAGAAGGCUGGGAGGCACUGGGGGAGUAAAGCUGAGAUGUUGAAUGCUCUGGGGAAGUAGGGGGAACUAGCAGGGUCUCAUCAGUGAAAUGGGGGGCAGAAGGGAACCAUUGCUAGAAUGGAUUCCUCAAGGCCCGGGGCUGCCCCACAAAGUAAGGUAGGGAAAGGCAGAAGGAAGACAGCUAGGUUUCCUCAUUCUUCACUCACUUCAUAUUGGAGCUGGGGUCCAGGCUAGCUGGUGCCACCAUCUCCACUUCGUCACCAUGUCACCUCACCUACGUGGCUGCACUGCACAAGCUGCCUUGUCCUUAUGGCUUCAGUGAACUGGACACACACUCCAGAUCAGGCAGAAACAAACUUCCUAUGGCCUAAAAACACUGAAUGGAUCCAGACCGUGCCAUGACAAGAAACAUAAAACCUGCCAAUGCAUCUCCACCACCCCCACAAUAACUACACCCCACAACAAAGCUAUCACCAUUCCUGGAUCUUACAGCUGCACCUUCAGAAAUGUAAUCUAUCUCCUCCAGUGCACUAAAUGCCCUGAUGGAAAAUCUGUGGGAGAAACCAAACAACAACUGUGCACCAGAAUGAAUGCACACCGGAAAUCUAUCAAAGACAAGAAUACUCAAUUACCUGUGUUGGCACAUUUCUCAGAAGAAAACCACUUUCUCUCUAAUUUCUCAGUUCUGAUCCUCAAAGUGAAUUUACAAAACACCUUUCACAGACGAGCCUAUGAACUUCACUCCAUCAAUCUACUGGAUACAAAAAAUCAUGGACUAAAUAUAGACAUUGGAUUUACGACACAUUAUAACCUGCUUAAGGAGGAACAUUUUGUGUUGGUCCGCACCUGUAGGGAGCGAACUAGGAAAGCCAAGGCUGCAACAGAACUCACACUGGCUACACGAAUCAAGGACAAUAAAAAGUCCUUCUUCAGAUAUGUGGGGAGUCGGAAGAAAAACAAGGGCAGCAUUGAACCGCUGCUAAACCAAUUGGGGCAGCUGACAACUGACACCCAGGAAAAGGCCGAUCUGCUUACUGAAUACUUUGUGUCAGUUUUUCACCAGCCCAAAGGGACCACCCUGCCUAACAUGAUGCGAGAUGACCAGGGUGAGGGUGAAUAUAUGCCCACCACUGGCAGAGAUCUUGUGAGGGAGCAUCUUGAAAGGCUGGACACCCACAAAUCAGCUGGUCUGGAUAGAUUGCACCCAAGAGUGCUAAAGGAACUGGCAGACAUCAUAGCAUGACCACUGGCAAGGAUAUUCGAGAACUUGUGGCGCUCAGGCAAAGUACCUGAAGAUUGGAAGAGGGCCAAUGUGAUGCCUAUCUUCAAGAAAGUGGGGAAAGAAGAUCCAGGAAAUUACAGGCCAGUCAGUUUGACUUGAAUCCCUGGAAAGUUCUUGGAAAAAAUUAUCAAAGAAACUGUUCUCGACAGGCACACAGAAGGUAACAUUCUGAGGGAUAGCCAGGGUUUGUUGCGGGUAGAUCUUGCCUGACCAAUCUCAUUUCCUUCUAUGACCAGAUGACGUAUCAGCUGGACAAAAGGGAAGAGGUUGAUGUCAUAUAUUUGGACUUUAAAAAAGCCUUUGACCUGGUGUCUCAUGAUGUCCUCAUGGAAAAAUUAGGUAACUGUGGCCUUGACUACACUAUGGUCUGAUGGCUGGGGAACUGGCUCUAAGGUCGGACCCAGAGAAUGGUAGUUGAUGGAACCGAAUCAACAUGGCACUCGGUGACCAGUGAUGUCCCCCACAGCUCUGUUCUUGGACCUGUACUCUUUAAUGUCUUUAUAAAUGAUCUGGACACUGGUGUCAGAUGUGGACUGGCCAAGUUUGCUGAUGACACCAAACUCUGGGGAAGAGUCUCCACACUUGAGGAUAGGCUGGUGAUCCAGGCCAACCUCAAUAGAUUUGUAAGGUAGGCAGUUGAAAACCUGAUGGCAUUCAAGACAGAGAAAUGCAAGGUGUUCCACCUCGGGGAAAAAAACCCACAUCACACUUCUAGACUUGGCAUGCUACACUCAUUAGCACCAUGACUGAAAGAGACUUGGGGGUCAUGACUGACCACAAGAUGAACAAGCAUCGAUGCGAUACUGCAGCCUGCAAAGAGAACAAAACUCUGACUUGCACCUACUGAUGCAUCUUGAGCAAGACCCAGGAUGUCCUCCUCCCACUGUACUUGGCCUCAGGGAGGCCGCAGCUGGAGUACUGCAUCCAGUUCUGGGCUCCAUAAUUUAGGAAGGAUGUGGAGAAGCUUGAAAGAGUCCACACACAUGAUCAGAGGGCAAAAAAAAAGGCCUUAUGAAGAGAGGCUGCAAGCCAUGGGACUCCAGCCUGGAGAAGCGCAGGCUCAGAGGUGACUUCGUGGCAGUUUAUAAGUACAUAGGGGUGUGCAUCAGGAUCUGGGGGAACACCUGUUCACCAGGGGAUGACGAGGUUCAAUGGUCACAAACACCUGCAAGACCGUUUUAGGCUGGACAUAAAGAAAAACUUCUUUACUGUCCGAGCCC